This 253-nucleotide ribosomal RNA is filed under the name uncultured bacterium. RNAcentral describes it as "partial 16S ribosomal RNA". It matches the Rfam family "Bacterial small subunit ribosomal RNA", at positions 524 to 776 of the family's 1533-position model. The record is from RNAcentral.
UACGGGGGGGGCAAGCGUUGUUCGGAAUUACUGGGCGUAAAGGGCUCGUAGGCGGCCAACUAAGUCGAACGUGAAAUCCCUCAGCUUAACUGGGGAACUGCGUCCGAUACUGAUUGGCUUGAAUCCGGAAGAGGGAUGCGGAAUUCCAGGUGUAGCGGUGAAAUGCGUAGAUAUCUGGAGGAACACCGGUGGCGAAGGCGGCAUCCUGGAUCGGUAUUGACGCUGAGGAGCGAAAGCCAGGGGAGCAAACGGG